CCUACGGGUGGCAGCAGUGAGGAAUAUUGGUCAAUGGGCGCGAGCCUGAACCAGCCAAGUAGCGUGAAGGAUGACGGCCCUACGGGUUGUAAACUUCUUUUAUAAAGGAAUAAAGUGAGGCACGUGUGCCUUUUUGUAUGUACUUUAUGAAUAAGGAUCGGCUAACUCCGUGCCAGCAGCCGCGGUAAUACGGAGGAUCCGAGCGUUAUGCGGAUUUAUUGGGGUUAAAGGGAGCGUCGAGGGGUUGGUAAGUCAGUUGGGAAAGUUUGCGGCUCAACCGUCAAAUUGCAAUUGCUACUGGCAGCCUUGAGUACAGUUGAGGUAGGCGGCAUUCGUGGUGUAGCGG
This 346-nucleotide ribosomal RNA is filed under the name uncultured bacterium. RNAcentral's name for it is "partial 16S ribosomal RNA". It matches the Rfam family "Bacterial small subunit ribosomal RNA", at positions 338 to 681 of the family's 1533-position model. The record is from RNAcentral.